AUUGAACGCUGGCGGCAUGCCUUACACAUGCAAGUCGAACGGCAGCACGGGAGCAAUCCUGGUGGCGAGUGGCGAACGGGUGAGUAAUGUAUCGGAACGUGCCCAGUCGUGGGGGAUAACGUAGCGAAAGCUACGCUAAUACCGCAUACGAUCUAUGGAUGAAAGCGGGGGAUCGCAAGACCUCGCGCGAUUGGAGCGGCCGAUAUCAGAUUAGGUAGUUGGUGGGGUAAAGGCUCACCAAGCCGACGAUCUGUAGCUGGUCUGAGAGGACGACCAGCCACACUGGGACUGAGACACGGCCCAGACUCCGACGGGAGGCAGCAGUGGGGAAUUUUGGACAAUGGGCGCAAGCCUGAUCCAGCAGUGCCGCGUGCAGGAUGAAGGCCUUCGGGUUGUAAACUGCUUUUGUACGGAACGAAACGGCGAGCUCUAAUACAGUUUGCUAAUGACGGUACCGUAAGAAUAAGCACCGGCUAACUACGUGCCAGCCGCCGCCGUAA
Molecule: ribosomal RNA, 500 nt
Filed under: uncultured bacterium
Lineage: Bacteria
Description: partial 16S ribosomal RNA
Rfam family: Bacterial small subunit ribosomal RNA
Source: RNAcentral